AGCCUCUUGACCAAUUAAUAUAAGAGGUACUGCCUGCCCAGUGACACCUGUUCAACGGCCGCGGUAUUAUGACCGUGCAAAGGUAGCGUAAUCACUUGUCUUUUAAAUAAAGACCAGUAUGAAUGGCGAAACGAGAGCCUAACUGUCUCUCCAAGCUAGUCAGUGAAAUUGAUAUUCUCGUGCAGAAGCGAGAAUAUUAUUACAAGACGAGAAGACCCUAUGGAGCUUUAAGCUGGAAUUAAACCUGUAAAUAACUAAAACAACCACUAAUAUACAGCUUUAGGUUGGGGCGACCACGGAGAAAAAUAAAACCUCCGAGAUGAAUUAGCUAAGAAAAACACAUCAAAGCAACAAAAAUAUUGACAUAUUGACCCAAUAUUUGACCAACGAACCAAGUUACCCUAGGGAUAACAGCGCAAUCUUCUCAUAGAGUCCAUAUCAACGAGAAGGUUUACGACCUCGAUGUUGGAUCAGGGCCCCCAAAUGGUGCAGCAGCUGUUAAAGGUUCGUUUGUUCAACGAUUAAAGCCCUACGUGAUCUGAGUUCAGACCGGAGAAAUCCAGGUCAGUUUCUAUCUGUAAAAAGAUUUUUCUAGUACGAAAGGACCGAAAAAACAAGGCCUCUGGGGAAACCCAAGCCUUCCUGAAAACCUCUGAAUAUAAAUAAGAGGUCAAAGGAGAUAAAACAAGUCUAAUCGACUU
RNAcentral lists this ribosomal RNA (701 nucleotides) under Eurycea quadridigitata. RNAcentral describes it as "partial 16S ribosomal RNA". It matches the Rfam family "Bacterial large subunit ribosomal RNA", at positions 1816 to 2829 of the family's 2925-position model. The record is from RNAcentral. Lineage: Eukaryota; Metazoa; Chordata; Amphibia; Caudata; Plethodontidae.